UGGGGAAUUUUGCACAAUGGGGGAAACCCUGAUGCAGCGACGCCGCGUGAUUUAGAAGGCCUUCGGGUUGUAAAAAUCUUUUAUAUGGGAAGAAAAUGACAGUACCAUAGGAAUAAGGACCGGCUAAUUACGUGCCAGCAGCCGCGGUAAUACGUAAGGUCCGAGCGUUGUCCGGAAUCAUUGGGCGUAAAGGGUACGUAGGCGGGUAAGCAAGUUAGAAGUGAAAUCCUAUAGCUCAACUAUAGUAAGCUUUUAAAACUGCUCAUCUUGAGGUAUGGAAGGGAAAGUGGAAUUCCUAGUGUAGCGGUGAAAUGCGCAGAUAUUAGGAGGAAUACCGGUGGCGAAGGCGACUUUCUGGCCAUAACCUGACGCUGAGGUACGAAAGCGUGGGUAGCAAACAAG
Molecule: ribosomal RNA, 402 nt
Filed under: bacterium
Lineage: Bacteria
Description: partial 16S ribosomal RNA
Rfam family: Bacterial small subunit ribosomal RNA
Source: RNAcentral